ACGGGUGAGUAACACGUGGGUGACCUGCCUUCGAGUGGGGGAUAACGUUUCGAAAGGAACGCUAAUACCGCAUGACAUCCUGCCUUUGAACAGGCGGAGAUCAAAGCCGGGGAUCGUAAGACCUGGCGCUUGAAGAGGGGCCCGCGUCCGAUUAGCUAGUUGGUGGGGUAACGGCUCACCAAGGCGACGAUCGGUAUCCGGCCUGAGAGGGCGGACGGACACACUGGGACUGAGACACGGCCCAGACUCCUACGGGAGGCAGCAGUGGGGAAUUGUUCGCAAUGGGCGCAAGCCUGACGACGCAACGCCGCGUGGAGGAUGAAGGUCUUCGGAUUGUAAACUCCUGUUGAUCGGGACGAACAACCAUCGGGAUAACACCCCGGAGGUCUGACGGUACCGAUUGAGGAAGCCCCGGCUAACUCUGUGCCAGCAGCCGCGGUAAUACAGAGGGGGCAAGCGUUGUUCGGAAUUACUGGGCGUAAAGGGCGCGUAGGCGGCCGCCUAAGUCAGACGUGAAAUCCCUCGGCUCAACCGGGGAACUGCGUCUGAUACUGGGUGGCUUGAAUCCGGGAGAGGGAUGCGGAAUU
RNAcentral lists this ribosomal RNA (587 nucleotides) under uncultured bacterium. RNAcentral's name for it is "bacterial SSU rRNA". It matches the Rfam family "Bacterial small subunit ribosomal RNA", at positions 102 to 668 of the family's 1533-position model. The record is from RNAcentral.